Molecule: small RNA, 48 nt
Filed under: Arabidopsis thaliana (thale cress)
Lineage: Eukaryota; Viridiplantae; Streptophyta; Magnoliopsida; Brassicales; Brassicaceae
Description: ATSL198970
Source: RNAcentral
UAAAUUAGUGUUUCCUUGUUAGAAGAUACAAAGCCGAAGAUUCACACG